UACCCCUGUAGUCUUAGCUGUUAACGAUGGAGACUAGGCGUUGGCUUGUAUCGACCCGAGCCGUGCCGAAGCCUACGCGUUAAGUCUCCCGCCUGGGGAGUACGCGCGCAAGUGUGAAACUCAAAGGAAUUGACGGGGGCCACGCACAAACGCUGGAGUAUGUGGUAUAAUUCGAUGCAACGCGAAGAACCUGACCAAGGCCUGACAUCCCGCGAAUCCCCGGUGAAAGCCGGGAGAGCCUUCGGGAGCGCGGAGACAGGUGGUGCAUGGCAGUGGUCAGCUCGAGUCGUAGAGAUGAUGGGACAAGUCCACGCAACGAGCGCAACCAAGUGCCUUAGUUGCCAGCAGUCAGUUGGGCACUCUAGGGAGACUGCCGGUGACAAACCGGAGGAAGGUGGGGAUGACGUAAAGUCAUCAUGCCCAGACGUUUGUGGGGUAUACAAGUACUACAAUGGUUGGUACACCGGGCAGAGAAGCGGCAAGAUCCGAGCGAAUCCCAGCAAACACAGCAUCAGUUCAGAUAUCAGACUGCAACUCGCCUGCG
RNAcentral lists this ribosomal RNA (544 nucleotides) under uncultured organism. RNAcentral describes it as "bacterial SSU rRNA". It matches the Rfam family "Bacterial small subunit ribosomal RNA", at positions 783 to 1320 of the family's 1533-position model. The record is from RNAcentral.